CCUACGGGAGGCAGCAGUAGGGAAUCUUCCACAAUGGGCGCAAGCCUGAUGGAGCAACACCGCGUGAGUGAAGAAGGGUUUCGGCUCGUAAAGCUCUGUUGUUGGAGAAGAACGUGCGUGAGAGUAACUGUUCACGCAGUGACGGUAUCCAACCAGAAAGUCACGGCUAACUACGUGCCAGCAGCCGCGGUAAUACGUAGGUGGCAAGCGUUAUCCGGAUUUAUUGGGCGUAAAGCGAGCGCAGGCGGUUGCUUAGGUCGGAUGUGAAAGCCUUCGGCUUAACCGAAGAAGUGCAUCGGAAACCGGGCAACUUGAGUGCAGAAGAGGACAGUGGAACUCCAUGUGUAGCGGUGGAAUGCGUAGAUAUAUGGAAGAACACCAGUGGCGAAGGCGGCUGUCUGGUCUGCAACUGACGCUGAGGCUCGAAAGCAUGGGUAGCGAACAGGAUUAGAUACCCGAGUAGUC
Molecule: ribosomal RNA, 465 nt
Filed under: uncultured bacterium
Lineage: Bacteria
Description: partial 16S ribosomal RNA
Rfam family: Bacterial small subunit ribosomal RNA
Source: RNAcentral